This 252-nucleotide unclassified non-coding RNA is filed under the name fungal sp. Its description in RNAcentral is "partial internal transcribed spacer region". The stretch from base 1 to 45 matches the Rfam family "Eukaryotic small subunit ribosomal RNA", at positions 1787 to 1831 of the family's 1831-position model. The record is from RNAcentral. Lineage: Eukaryota; Fungi.
AGUCGUAACAAGGUAUCCGUAGGUGAACCUGCGGAUGGAUCAUUAACAAAGAAUUUCUUAUUCUUACGUACUGUGAACUGUUUAUUAAACCGUCAGAGGAAUUAUGUCAAUUCCCGGUGGUGGUAAUAAUAUUAUUACCAUCGUCAUGAUUUGACCCUCUGGUCGGACACAUUAGAGUAAAAAAUGUCUAAACUUAAUUUUGUAAAUAGUGUAAAAACUUUACAACUUUUAGCAACGGAUCUCUAGGCUCUC